CCCAGACUCCUACGGGAGGCAGCAGUGGGGGAUAUAGCACAAUGGGGGAAACCCUGAUGCAGCGACGCCGCGUGGGCGAAGAAGUAUUUCGGUAUGUAAAGCCCUAUCAGCAGGGAAGAAGAAAUGACGGUACCUGAGUAAGAAGCACCGGCUAAAUACGUGCCAGCAGCCGCGGUAAUACGUAGGGGGCAAGCGUUAUCCGGAUUUACUGGGUGUAAAGGGAGCGUAGACGGUCCUGCAAGCCAGAUGUGAAAGCCCGGGGCUCAACCCCGGGACUGCAUUUGGAACUGUAAGGCUAGAGUGUCGGAGAGGCAGGCGGAAUUCCUAGUGUAGCGGUGAAAUGCGUAGAUAUUAGGAGGAACACCAGUGGCGAAGGCGGCCUGCUGGACGAUGACUGACGUUGAGGCUCGAAAGCGUGGGGAGCAAACAGGAUUAGAUACCCGGGUA
Molecule: ribosomal RNA, 447 nt
Filed under: uncultured bacterium
Lineage: Bacteria
Description: bacterial SSU rRNA
Rfam family: Bacterial small subunit ribosomal RNA
Source: RNAcentral